AGUGCCGAAUGCGGGAAUCGAACCCGGGUCCUAGUGGUCCAAAACCAACGGUUUAGACCAUUCUUCCACCGACCC
RNAcentral lists this transfer RNA (75 nucleotides) under Cordylochernes scorpioides. Its description in RNAcentral is "tRNA-Gln". Lineage: Eukaryota; Metazoa; Arthropoda; Arachnida; Pseudoscorpiones; Chernetidae. The record is from RNAcentral.